RNAcentral lists this ribosomal RNA (256 nucleotides) under uncultured bacterium. RNAcentral describes it as "partial small subunit ribosomal RNA". It matches the Rfam family "Bacterial small subunit ribosomal RNA", at positions 26 to 285 of the family's 1533-position model. The record is from RNAcentral.
AGGACGAACGCUGGCGGCGUGCUUAACACAUGCAAGUCGGGCGAGGCUCUUCCUUCGGGGAGAUGCCCUAGCGGCGAACGGGUGAGUAACACGUGGGCAACCUGCCCCUAGCACUGGGAUAACUCCGGGAAACCGGGGCUAAUACCAGAUAUGACCUUUGAGGGCAUCCUCUUUGGUGUAAAGGAUUCUGGCUAGGGAUGGGCCCGCGGCCUAUCAGCUUGUUGGUGGGUAAUGGCCCACAAGGCGACGACGGGUA